Paramuricea clavata is the source of this 293-nucleotide non-coding RNA. Lineage: Eukaryota; Metazoa; Cnidaria; Anthozoa; Malacalcyonacea; Plexauridae. The record is from the annotation of a GenBank genome assembly.
CGCCACCACUGCACACAGUAAGCAUUAGAGUUAGCGAUAAGGUUGUGGUUGGUGUCCAGUUCAAAGAGAGAUAAAUAUAUUUGUUGAUGAAACAUAAUAAUGAUAUUCAAAUUUACUAAGGGAGGAGGCUAAUGAAAGAGCAAACUUGGUGUGGGAAUUGGGUGUGGUCAUUGGCUUUACUGCCUAGUUAAAGACCGCUCUAAAUGCAGUUUUUUAUAAAUGGCGAGAUCUGUAUUUUUGAACAAUUAUUACUUGUUUGAAAACAAAAAAAUAUCUUACUUAUGUGAAAGAAC